This 635-nucleotide ribosomal RNA is filed under the name uncultured Candidatus Poseidoniales archaeon. RNAcentral's name for it is "bacterial SSU rRNA". It matches the Rfam family "Archaeal small subunit ribosomal RNA", at positions 287 to 923 of the family's 1478-position model. The record is from RNAcentral. Lineage: Archaea; Methanobacteriati; Thermoplasmatota; Candidatus Poseidoniia; Candidatus Poseidoniales.
UGCCCGGAGAUGGAUUCUGAGACACGAAUCCAGACCCUACGGGGUGCAGCAGGCGCGAAAACUUGGCAAUGCGAGCAAUCGUGACCAGGGAACUCCAAGUGCGUAGGGUAAGACCUACGCUUUUCUUGACUCUUCAAAGGUCUUGGAAUAAGGGGUGGGUAAGGACGGUGCCAGCCGCCGCGGUAAUACCGGCGCCUCAAGUGGUAGUCGCUUUUAUUGGGCCUAAAACGUCCGUAGCCGGUCUGGUGCAUUCGUGGGUAAAUCAACCCGCUCAACGGGUUGAAUUCUGCGAGCACGGCCAGACUUGGGACCGGGAGAGGUGUGGGGUACUCUCAGGGUAGGGGUAAAAUCCUGUCAUCCUGAGAGGACCACCUGUUGCGAAGGCGCCACACUAGAACGGAUCCGACGGUCAGGGACGAAACCUAGGGGCACGAACCGGAUUAGAUACCCGGGUAGUCCUAGGUGUAAACGCUGUGGACUUGAUGUUGGGGGUGCUCCGAGCUCCCUCAGUGUCGAAGCGAAGGUGAUAAGUCCACUGCCUGGGGAGUACGGUCGCAAGGCUGAAACUUAAAGGAAUUGGCGGGGGAGCACUGCAACCUGAGGAUUGUGCGGUUUAAUUGGACUCAACGCCGGGA